UUGUACAAUGAACACCCAAGAGAGCUUUAUAGUUCCCUGGACUUUGACACUGUGCUGGAGCAAUGACUGUUCUUUUCCUCUGCAUUGAAAGGAGUAUUUAUCCUUUUAGAUGUAUUCAGAAAGCCAGCAAGCAC
Small nucleolar RNA from Microcebus murinus (gray mouse lemur), 134 nucleotides. The record is from Ensembl. Lineage: Eukaryota; Metazoa; Chordata; Mammalia; Primates; Cheirogaleidae.